RNAcentral lists this long non-coding RNA (340 nucleotides) under Capsella rubella. RNAcentral describes it as "long non-coding RNA (CRUB_LNC002998)". Lineage: Eukaryota; Viridiplantae; Streptophyta; Magnoliopsida; Brassicales; Brassicaceae. The record is from RNAcentral.
AAUAAAUUAUUAUAUUGUUGUCAUUAACAGCAGUUUCACUUGAUGUAAGGUAAAACAAUUUGGUUUUAUUUUAUAAUUGCUGUUCUAAAAUUUUGCUUUGAUAAAUCAGAAUAUAUGUUCAUUUUAAAUCCUUUAAACUUCUACAGUUUUCCGACAUAUUGGCUCAUUUGAGUUGAUCUUCGUAAGAUCCAAAAAAAAAAAAAAAACCUUCUUCAAUUGCUAAUUAACUUUUUGGGUUGGACGACCAUAUAUAUAUAAUACGCAGUCUUAAAUUUCUCGAAUCAUUAAAAGAUAUAUCAAUCGUGCAUGAUCAAUCAUCUCGUGACUAUUAUAGUUUUAU